Molecule: long non-coding RNA, 2708 nt
Organism: Salvelinus fontinalis (brook trout)
Lineage: Eukaryota; Metazoa; Chordata; Actinopteri; Salmoniformes; Salmonidae
Exons: 3
Source: RefSeq, a predicted model, not a curated record
GCUGUGAUUGGCAGAGAGGUUUGGAACUUUCCUUCUUAAUUAAUAAUUAACUAAUUUACCAUACUGGCGAUGUCACUAGGUAGGCCAAAGAAGGCAACCACUCUUACAGCUCUAAAAGGGCAUCAUCAUUAUCAAAUUUCACAGUAUUACUCCAACCUCAGUGUGGAAAUCUAUAAUGAACAAAAAUAUAAACGCAACAUGCGACAAUUUCAAACAUUUACUGAGGUACAGUUUAUAUAAAACAGUUCAUAUGAGGAAAUCAGUCAAUUGAUAAAAAUGCAUAAGGCCCUAAUCUAUAGAUUUCACAUGACUGGGAAUACAGAAAUGCAUCACGUCUGAUGAAUGGCAAGACAAUGGACCUCAGGAUCACGUGACGGUAUCUCUGUGUAUUCAAAUUGCCAUCAAUAAAAUGCAAUUUUUGCAAGCUUAUUCUUGCCCAUACCAUAACCCUGGGGCGGCAGGUAGCCUAGUGGUUAGAGCUUUGGGCCAGUAACUGAAAGGGUGUUGGAUUGAAUCACUGAGCUGACAAGGUAAAAAUCUGUCGUUCUGCCCCUGAUCAAGGCAGUUAACCAACUGUUCCCCGGUAGGCCGUCAUUGUAAAUAAGAAUUUGUUAUUUUAACUGACUUGCCUGGUUAAAUAAAGGUUACAUAAAUAAUAGCCCCACCAUGGGGCACUCUAUUCACAAUGUUGACAUAAGCAAACCAUGUUGUUGUGUGACACAUUUUAGAGUGGACUUUUACCUUCCCCAGCACAAGGUUCACCUGUGUAAUGAUCAUGAUGUUUAAUCAUCUUCUUGAUAUGCCACAUCUGUCAAGGGGAUGGAUUAUCUUGGCAAAGGAGAAAUGCUCACUAACAGAGAUGUAAACAAAUUUGUGUACAAAAUUUAAGAUAAAUAAGCUUUUUGUGUGUAUGGAACAUUUCUCGGAUUUCAGCUCAUGAAACAUGGGACCAACACUUUACAUGUUGUAUUUACAUUUUUGUUCAGUGUAUAUAAAACCCAUGAAAAUCAUGUUUUUGACUUCACUGGGCCUUAAAAUGUUUGAGGCUCUGUUGCUAUGCUCUGUGUGUGUGUUUACCAGGUGUAGUGAUGUGCUGUUGUGCUGUCUGUGAGACAUGUGUAACAGUUUAUCGGUGUUGCUAUGCGCUGUGUGUGUAAUUCUGUGUUGCUAGGCGGUAGAGAGCUGGACAGCUGGACAGCUAGACUCAGGACCUGGCUCUGCUCAGUGUGGUCUGGCCGUCCUCACAGCGGUAAUGCAGUCUCUGGCUCGAAAGAACGUGCGAGCCGUUGGAUAAGAUGAACUUGACUGUGAACGUGACUAAGAAGUUUAAGGAGUUCAACCAGCCUGCCAGAGAGGGAGCAUAAAUACAGACCAUACAUGGAAGGUGAGAGAUUGCACACUCAGAGUGGGGUGAUCACUGAGGCCCGUCUGAAGGAGUUAACCCCCUCUAUGCCAGUAAUCUCAGUACAAGCUGUACCAAACAAAAGACAAUGCAUAAUAUCUAUGAGCUUCCUCUGUACAAGACCAAGCUGAGAGGAACCACUUAUGGCUGGACCUUCAGCCUCGAGACCAGAGAGAGACCAGCUAAAUUGGUACUGGCCGGGGUGGCACUGCUGGUCAGUGUGUAGAGGUAAGGGAUAGGUGUUAGGGGGUGAGGAGGGAGGGCAGCAGAGAGACCAGCCAAGUUGGUACUAGCUGGGGUACCCGGGGUGGCACUGCUGGUCAGUGUGUGAGUGAGCUGUCAGGGUAGGCAGGAGAAAUUAGGUGAAGAAGGAUGAGGGGCCUGCUCCUUUGUUGGUUUAAGGGAUUUUGGAGACGUUGGAACAGAGUGAGGUAGUUAUUUCAUUAGUUGUUCGUGGGCUGUGUCUUUUCCUCAUUAUGUUGCUCAGUGUGAGAGAAGUUACUUUAGGUAAAAAGUGUUACUACAUAAUCUCUCAAACCAGGUUUGAUGCUGAAAUACAGUAUAAAGACAUUUGUAUGGUAUUGUUUUAGCACCUGAAAGCUAUAUGAAAAUAAAAAAUGUUUGUCAUAUUACUUAAAUGAAAAUAUCAGUAUUUAUCUGAAUUUAUUGAAAAACAAUACAAUAUAUAAAGAGAAGGGAGCUGCAAAAUAAUUUUACACAUUUGAUCACAGUAAGAAUCCAUUUGAUCACAGUAAGGAUCCAUUUGAUCACAGUAAGAAUCCAUUUGAUCACAGUAAGAAUCCAUGUGAUCACAGUAAGAAUCCAUUUGAUCACAGUAAGAAUCCAUUUGAUCACAGUAAGAAUCCAUUUGAUCACAGUAAGAAUCCAUUUGAUCACAGUAAGAAUCCAUAAAUUGAAUUCAAAGUUUAGUUUUUGAACGAAUGAACUGUAUCAAUGGUCUAAAAGCAUAGAACAUUGGAUGGUACCCUGACUUGUCCUAGCCUCCACAAACUGCUCUCUGGUCUAUGUAACACUUGUUAAUAUGGCACAUCAGUUGCAUACCACUUUAAAGGCUUCAAUACACCAGAACAACAUGACAGUUAGCAGGAGGAAAUCCACACUGCUGACAAUUCUUCACUAUUAUCCCCUAAAGUCCUCACAACUGGGGGUGGAUAAAUUUGGCUUAAAUUAAAAAAUAAAAUAAUUAUGUAACAAAAACAAAAUUGUGUGUGUGUGUACCUUCCAAGUACCGCUGUGUGUUUGUGUGUUCUCCUAGUCACUGUCGUGGUCAGACCAGCUCAGCUCC